RNAcentral lists this ribosomal RNA (356 nucleotides) under uncultured Glomus. RNAcentral describes it as "SSU rRNA". It matches the Rfam family "Eukaryotic small subunit ribosomal RNA", at positions 569 to 931 of the family's 1831-position model. The record is from RNAcentral. Lineage: Eukaryota; Fungi; Glomeromycota; Glomeromycetes; Glomerales; Glomeraceae.
AGCAGCCGCGGUAAUUCCAGCUCCAAUAGCGUAUAUUAAAGUUGCUGCAGUUAAAAAGCUCGUAGUUGAAUUUCGGGAUCAAUAUGUUGGUCGUGCCUUGGUACGUACUAGCUCAUUGGUUUCUCCCUUCUGACGAACCAUGAUGUCAUUAAUUUGAUGUCAUGGGGAAUCAGGACUGUUACUUUGAAAAAAUUAGAGUGUUUAAAGCAGGCUCGCGCUUGAAUACAUUAGCAUGGAAUAAUGAAAUAGGACAUUUGAUUCUAUUUUGUUGGUUUCUAGGAUCGAUGUAAUGAUUAAUAGGGACAGUUGGGGGCAUUAGUAUUCAAUUGUCAGAGGUGAAAUUCUUGGAUUUAUUG